UACGUAGGGUGCAAGCGUUAAUCGGAAUUACUGGGCGUAAAGCGUGCGCAGGCGGUUUUGUAAGUCUGACGUGAAAUCCCCGGGCUCAACCUGGGAAUUGCGUUGAAGACUGCAAGGCUAGAAUCUGGCAGAGGGGGGUAGAAUUCCACGUGUAGCAGUGAAAUGCGUAGAGAUGUGGAGGAACACCGAUGGCGAAGGCAGCCCCCUGGGUCAAGAUUGACGCUCAUGCACGAAAGCGUGGGGAGCAAACAGG
RNAcentral lists this ribosomal RNA (253 nucleotides) under uncultured bacterium. RNAcentral describes it as "partial 16S ribosomal RNA". It matches the Rfam family "Bacterial small subunit ribosomal RNA", at positions 524 to 776 of the family's 1533-position model. The record is from RNAcentral.